UACGGGGGGGGCAAGCGUUGUUCGGAAUUACUGGGCGUAAAGGGCGCGUAGGCGGUGCUCUAAGUUAGAUGUGAAAACUCUGGGCUCAACCCAGAGCCUGCAUCUAAAACUGGAGUGCUAGAGUUCUGGAGGGGGUAGCGGAAUUCCUGGUGUAGCGGUGAAAUGCGUAGAUAUCAGGAGGAACACCGGUGGCGAAGGCGGCUACCUGGACAGAAACUGACGCUGAGGCGCGAAAGCUAGGGGAGCAAGCAGG
Molecule: ribosomal RNA, 253 nt
Filed under: uncultured bacterium
Lineage: Bacteria
Description: partial 16S ribosomal RNA
Rfam family: Bacterial small subunit ribosomal RNA
Source: RNAcentral